Molecule: ribosomal RNA, 391 nt
Filed under: Schizophyllum sp. BAB-4016
Lineage: Eukaryota; Fungi; Basidiomycota; Agaricomycetes; Agaricales; Schizophyllaceae
Description: eukaryotic LSU rRNA
Rfam family: 5.8S ribosomal RNA (bases 1-99)
Source: RNAcentral
CGAUACUUGGUGUGAAUUGCAGAAUUCAGUGAAUCAUCGAAUCUUUGAACGCACCUUGCGCCCUUUGGUAUUCCGAGGGGCAUGCCUGUUUGAGUGUCAUUAAAUACCAUCAACCCUCUUUUGACUUCGGUCUCGAGAGUGGCUUGGAAGUGGAGGUCUGCUGGAGCCUAACGGAGCCAGCUCCUCUUAAAUGUAUUAGCGGAUUUCCCUUGCGGGAUCGCGUCUCCGAUGUGAUAAUUUCUACGUCGUUGACCAUCUCGGGGCUGACCUAGUCAGUUUCAAUAGGAGUCUGCUUCUAACCGUCUCUUGACUGAGACUAGCGACUUGUGCGCUAACUUUUGACUUGACCUCAAAUCAGGUAGGACUACCCGCUGAACUUAAGCAUAUCAAU